UCCUAGCCCAGAUAGAAGCGGCAUCCUUUUUCUUGCUCCUUUAGCAAGGAAAAGAUAUAGUGGAUGGCUGGAAAUUGC
This 78-nucleotide small RNA is filed under the name Flavobacterium sp. ov086. RNAcentral's name for it is "Flavo-1 RNA". It matches the Rfam family "Flavo-1 RNA". Lineage: Bacteria; Pseudomonadati; Bacteroidota; Flavobacteriia; Flavobacteriales; Flavobacteriaceae. The record is from RNAcentral.